AGGGUUUGAUUAUGGCUCAGAACGUACGCUGGCGGCACGCCUAAUACAUGCAAGUCGAACGAAGUAGCAAUACUUAGUGGCAGACGGGUGAGUAACAUGUGGGUAUCUUCCCUAUGGUGAGGAAUAACACGAGGAAACUUGUGCUAAUACCUCAUAAGUCUUUACGGAGAAAGCUUUAUGCGCCAUUGGAUGAGCCCGCACUUGAUUAGUUUGUUGGUGGGGUAAUGGCCUACCAAGUCUUUGAUCAAUAGCUGAUUUGAGAGGAUGAUCAGCCACAUUGGGACUGAGACACGGCCCAAACUCCUACGGGAGGCAGCAGUAGGGAAUCUUGCACAAUGGAGGAAACUCUGAUGCAGCGAUGCCGCGUGAGUGAAGAAGGCCCUUGGGUUGUAAAGCUCUUUCGUCGGGGAAGAAAAUGACUGUACCCGAAUAAGAAGUCCGCA
Molecule: ribosomal RNA, 443 nt
Filed under: uncultured marine bacterium
Lineage: Bacteria
Description: bacterial SSU rRNA
Rfam family: Bacterial small subunit ribosomal RNA
Source: RNAcentral